CAAUAGCGUAUAUUUAAGUUGUUGCAGUUAAAAAGCUCGUAGUUGGAUUUCGGGUGGGACGCAGCGGUCUCGCAUUGCGUUUGUACUGCUGCAGCCCUCCUUCUUGCCGGGGGCGGCCUCUCGGACUUCACUGUCUGGGGGUCAGAAUCGGCGAUGUUACUUUGAGUAAAUUAGAGUGUUCAAAGCAAGCUUACGCUCUGAAUAUAAUAGCAUGGGGUAACACGACAGGACUCUGGCCUAUCGUGUUGGUCUAUAGGACCAGAGUAAUGAUUAAGAGGGACAGUCGGGGGCAUUCGUAUUCCGUUGUCAGAGGUGAAAUUCUUGGAUUUACGGAAGACGAACAUCUGCGAAAGCAUUUGCCAAGGAUGUUUUCAUUG
RNAcentral lists this ribosomal RNA (377 nucleotides) under uncultured eukaryote. RNAcentral describes it as "partial 18S ribosomal RNA". It matches the Rfam family "Eukaryotic small subunit ribosomal RNA", at positions 592 to 975 of the family's 1831-position model. The record is from RNAcentral.